AUUGAACGCUGGCGGCAUGCUUUACACAUGCAAGUCGAACGGCAGCGCGGGCUUCGGCCUGGCGGCGAGUGGCGAACGGGUGAGUAAUACAUCGGAACGUGCCCAGUAGUGGGGGAUAGCUCGGCGAAAGCCGGAUUAAUACCGCAUACGACCUGAGGGUGAAAGCGGGGGAUCUUCUGACCUCGCGCUAUUGGAGCGGCCGAUGGCAGAUUAGCUAGUUGGUGGGGUAAAGGCCUACCAAGGCGACGAUCUGUAGCUGGUCUGAGAGGACGACCAGCCACACUGGGACUGAGACACGGCCCAGACUCCUACGGGAGGCAGCAGUGGGGAAUUUUGGACAAUGGGCGAAAGCCUGAUCCAGCAAUGCCGCGUGUGUGAUGAAGGCCUUCGGGUUGUAAAGCACUUUUGGCGGGAACGAAAAGGACUGUGCCAAUACCACGGUUCGAUGACGGUACCCGCAGAAUAAGCACCGGCUAACUACGUG
This 484-nucleotide ribosomal RNA is filed under the name uncultured bacterium. RNAcentral's name for it is "partial 16S ribosomal RNA". It matches the Rfam family "Bacterial small subunit ribosomal RNA", at positions 29 to 507 of the family's 1533-position model. The record is from RNAcentral.